RNAcentral lists this ribosomal RNA (441 nucleotides) under uncultured bacterium. RNAcentral's name for it is "partial 16S ribosomal RNA". It matches the Rfam family "Bacterial small subunit ribosomal RNA", at positions 338 to 795 of the family's 1533-position model. The record is from RNAcentral.
CCUACGGGUGGCAGCAGUGGGGAAUAUUGCACAAUGGGCGCAACCCUGAUGCAGCGACGCCGCGUGAGUGAAGAAGUAUUUAGGUAUGUAAAGCUCUAUCAGCAGGGCAGAAGAAAGACGGUACCUGACUAAGCAGCCCCGGCUAACUACGUACCAGCAGCCGCGGUAAUACGCAGGAGGCAAGCGUUAUCCGGAUUUCCUGGGUGUAACGGGAGCGUAGACGGGUGUGCAAGUCUGAAGUGAAAGCCCAGGGCUCAACCCUGGGACUGCUUUGGAAACUGUGGAGCUAGAGUGCUGGAGAGGUAAGUGGAAUUCGUAGUGUAGCGGUGAAAUGCGUAGAUAUUAGGAAGAACACCAGUGGCGAAGGCGGCUUACUGGACAGUAACUGACGUUGAGGCUCGAAAGCGUGGGGAGCAAACAGGAUUAGAGACCCUGGUAGUC